Molecule: long non-coding RNA, 478 nt
Filed under: Chrysolophus pictus (golden pheasant)
Lineage: Eukaryota; Metazoa; Chordata; Aves; Galliformes; Phasianidae
Description: lncRNA (ENSCPIG00010007776.1)
Source: RNAcentral
UUAGGCUUUAAUAAAUGCCUUAUAUACUUAUUGUUACAGGUGAAUUGGUAGCUUCCAAGACAAAUCAAACAGCUCUGACUAUGAUCAAUCAGAAAUAGAUAAAUAAUGCACGUGGAUAAUUCUUUCCUAGCUGGAGAACUGAAGGUUGAAUGUUGUUUAAGGAGAUUCCUCUUCAAACAGGAGCAGUUUGGUUGAGUAAUGCUUCAGUUAUGGGGAAAGGGAAGGGAGACCAAUCUUUCAAUGAAGGAGAUUCAGGAUGAGCUGCAACCUUCUAAAACAAACAAGAAUGAAUUCCAAGGUUUAAACCCGUCUCAUCUCACUUCAGUCCACUUUUAUUGUACGUGUAACACCUCAGAGUCAGACCAGUUACUACCACCAACUUUACUGAGAGUAAAUUUUUUUCUACAUCUGCAUUUUUAACAUUCUUUUCCACAAUCUGUUUCCACUUUCUUUAAUAAAAGUCUCCAUGUCUGAUCCA